GAGGAGCGCUCAUGCACAUGGAUCCAAAAAAAAAAAAUUUUUUUUUAUUAUUCACGUGAUUUUAAUAGUUUAAUUUAAUUUGGGUAAACAGCUGUUGAGGAUUGUUUUAAUAUAUGAACAAAUAGAAGGUUAACAGAUCUGUUUGUUUACUUUCACCUUUCCUUUUCAUUAUAUUUAAUAAUUCUGUUCAGGAUAAUGUAAAUUGUUCUAAAUAUUGUUUUCUUAGUACCUGUUGAAAUGUUACAUAUUUUUUUUAGCAUCAUUGUCAAAAUUCCUAUUUUCAUCCCAGUGCCGGUGAAGACAAAGAUAAAACCAAACUACAACUUCUUCGAGAGUUAUCACAACAAACCGUGUAAACUGAUACAUCAAUGAUUUAUAACUCAACAAGUAAUGCUCAAUCAAUGAGUCGAUUUAUUUUGGAAGGAUAUGGACAUAUUGAUAGAUUCCUCUGCUUUGAACUGCUUACAAAACUUGCCUGGACUAUGUAUCACUUGUAUGCUUUAUUUUGGGAGGAUAUGGACAUAUUGAUAGAUUCCUCUGCUNUGGAGAUUUCACCUAGGUAAAGCUACAAGGCCUUUACUAUUGUCUUAUGUGUUAUAUGUUACGUGUGCACACUUCUGUUUUGUGUUGUAUGUCUGUAUGUGCGUAUGUCCAUAUAUCAUAUAUGAGGAGCACUCAUGCACAUGGAUCCAAAAUUUUUUUUUUAUUCACGUGAUUUUAAUAGUUUAAUUUAAUUUGGGUAAACAGCUGUUGAGGAUUGUUUUAAUAUAUGAACAAAUAGAAGGUUAACAGAUCUGUUUGUUUACUUUCACCUUUCCUUUUCAUUAUAUUUAAUAAUUCUGUUCAGGAUAAUGUAAAUUGUUCUAAAAAUUGUUUUAUUAGUACCUGUUGAAAUGUUACAUAUUUUUUUUUAGCAUCAUUGUCAAAAUUCCUAUUUUCAUCCCAGUGCCAGUGAAGACAAAGAUAAAACCAAACUACAACUUCUUUGAGAGUUAUCACAAUAAACCGUAUAAACUGAUACAUCAAUGAUUUAUAACUCAACAAGUAAUGCUCAAUCAAUGAGUUGAUUUAUUUUGGAAGGAUAUGGACAUAUUGAUA
Molecule: long non-coding RNA, 1098 nt
Filed under: Marmota monax (woodchuck)
Lineage: Eukaryota; Metazoa; Chordata; Mammalia; Rodentia; Sciuridae
Source: RNAcentral